GACGAACGCUGUCGGCGUGCUUAACACAUGCAAGUCGAACGAAGUGGCGAACGGGUGAGUCACGCGUAAUCAACCUGCCCUUCAGAGGGGGACAACAGUUUGAAACGACUGCUAAUACCGCAUACUGAGGGAGGGGCUUGCGUCUGAUUAGCUAGUUGGAGGGGUAACGGCCCACCAAGGCGAUGAUCAGUAGCCGGGCUGAGAGGAGGAACGGCCACAUUGGGACUGAGACACGGCCCAGACUCCUACGGGAGGCAGCAGUGGGGAAUCUUCCGCAAUGGACGAAAGUCUGACGGAGCAACGCCGCGUGAGUGAUGACGGCCUUCGGGUUGUAAAGCUCUGUUAAUCGGGACGCGGUACCGGAAUAGAAAGCCACGGCUAACUACGUGCCAGCAGCCGCGGUAAUUC
This 408-nucleotide ribosomal RNA is filed under the name uncultured bacterium. RNAcentral describes it as "partial 16S ribosomal RNA". It matches the Rfam family "Bacterial small subunit ribosomal RNA", at positions 28 to 526 of the family's 1533-position model. The record is from RNAcentral.